Oreochromis niloticus (Nile tilapia) is the source of this 965-nucleotide long non-coding RNA. RefSeq annotates it as periaxin. Lineage: Eukaryota; Metazoa; Chordata; Actinopteri; Cichliformes; Cichlidae. The record is from RefSeq and is a predicted model, not a curated record. The transcript has 2 exons.
AUUGUCCUCAAACGCCGCAUUAGGCUGAAAGUUUACUUUCACUUCCUGAACUUCGUGGAGUGGAGCUUGUUGUUGGUGCGUGAAGAAACUAGUCUAACCAGCCUGUACAGGUAACAACAACAGUCACUGCAUCACUGACACACAAACUUCAUCUCUGUCAAUAACAACAUUCAUACAUGGAAUAAAAACACAUCAGUGGAUCAUUGCUGGAGCUACCUGGACUUCAGUCUUCAGGAUCUCAACCAACAGCAUUGACAUGCUGCUCCAGAUGUCUGUGCUCCAGAUGUCUGUGCUCCAGAUGUUUGUGCUCCAGAUGUCUGUGCUCCAGAUGUUUGUGCUCCAGAUGUUUGUGCCCCAGAUGGAUGUGCUCCACAUGUCUGUGCUCCAGAUGUUUGUGCUCCAGAUGUCUGUGCUCCAGAUGUCUGUGCUCCAGAUGUUUGUGCUCCAGAUGUUUGUGUCCCAGAUGUCUGUGCUCCAAAUGUCUGUGCUCCAGAUGUCUGUGCUCCAGAUGUUUGUGCCCCAGAUGUCUGUGCCCCAGAUGUCUGUGCCCCAGAUGUUUGUGCUCCAGAUGUUUGUGCCCCAGAUGUCUGUGCCCCAGAUGUCUGUGCCCCAGAUGUCUGUGCCCCAGAUGUUUGUGCCCCAGAUGUCUGUGCUCCAGAUGUCUGUGCUCCAGAUGUCUGUGCUCCAGAUGUUUGUGCCCCAGAUGUCUGUGCCCCAGAUGUUUGUGCUCCAGAUGUUUGUGCUCCUGGUGGAAAGGCAGUUUCCUCCUUGAAACAAGUAUUUAUAUUGUUGUUAUAUUGUUGACCCACUAUUGAUCAUGUGACUCAUCACAUGGUCAAUAGUGGGUCAGCGACAUGCUUUCUUUCCCUCUCAGGUUUAAAUAUCUGGGACUCUCCACCGUUUGGUUUUAGAACUGAAGAAGCUUCUCUGAUGAAACGUCUUCACUUUAAGACAUCUCUUUUCUC